CUGACAGGUUACCAUAGUCACAUUAAUAUAUACUGACAGGUUACCAUAGUCACAUUAAUAUAUACUGACAGGUUACCAUAGUCACAUUAAUAUAUACUGACAGGUUACCAUAGUCACAUUAAUAUACACUGACAGGUUACCAUAGUCACAUUAAUAUACACUGAUAGGUUACCAUAGUCACAUUAAUAUAUACUGACAGGUUACCGUAGUUACAUUUUUAAAUACUGACAGAUUACCAUAGUCACAUUAAUAUAUACUGACAGGUUACCAUAGUUACAUUUUUAAAUACUGACAGGUUACCAUAGUCACAUUAAUAUAUACUGACAGGUUACCAUAGUUACAUUUUUAAAUACUGACAGGUUACCAUAGUCACAUUAAUAUAUA
Molecule: long non-coding RNA, 384 nt
Organism: Oncorhynchus keta (chum salmon)
Lineage: Eukaryota; Metazoa; Chordata; Actinopteri; Salmoniformes; Salmonidae
Exons: 3
Source: RefSeq, a predicted model, not a curated record